UGAGUAUUAGUUUCUGUUUGAGGAUGUCCUUGAUUUAACCCAGGUGUCUUUGGUUUAGUUUAAUUAUGUUGGGUAUUUAAACCCCUCGGGUGCACGCGCACUUCACUGGAGUAUUAUUAUUUGUAACAUAGAUGCCCGUGUGAGAGUUUUCAGUGUUAACGGUGUAGGAUAUAGGUUUAGCAUGCUAAGCGGUCUUUGUUGUCAUGUCCGGUUUCCUGCCUCGAUUCUAGUCUCAUGUUUACUCACUAGUUCCGUAUAGACCGCGCUGCCUGUGGUUUGUUUGUUUGUUUGGGUUAUUAAUAAAGACAGCGCUCCUGUGCUUACUUCCAACUCAUUAUCCUGUGUCGGGUGCAACAACAAAACAAACGAUUGUUUAGAUUUCUGCAUCACACCCCGCCAAUCCCGAUCCCAAUACUUUCUUUUGGCACAAACUUUUACAAUUGCCGUAAAUCAUAAAUUUGCAAAUUUCCAGUUUGUGCACUUUAAUUAUUAUUAUUAAAAUCACUACAUUUAUGGCAUUUGGCAGACACCUUCAUCCAGAGCGACUUACAUUUAUUUCAUUUAUACAUCUGAGCAAUUAGGGGUUAGGGCCUUGCUCAGGGGCCCCAACAGUGGUGCCUUGGUGGUUAUGGGGUUGAGCUCAUGACCUUCUGAUCAACAGCCCAAUGUCUUAACCACAGAGCCACCACUGUUAACAAGCACUGAUCAAACACUGAUCAAGCACUGUGCAGUAAAAUACGUUUAUACCCUAGAGGUGUGAUUAAACAAGUCAAGCCAAUCCAUUUCCUUCUUUCAACUGUAAAGAAAAAAGCUCUUCAAAUGACAGAAUGUUAUUUUUCUUGCUGUCUUGCUUGGUAGAGUUCAUCAGGUACCAAACUGUGGUCUCGGAGCUGGUUGAGGAAGGUGAGCGGUUCAUCUAUGCAAGAAAUCUGCGCCUUGUUCAAGUGGAAAAACUUAAUCAGCUCCUCCGGCGGUGUGAAAUCCAACUGAAUAGAUAUUCGGUAAAACACUUCUCCGGUAUCCUGAACAGGGCAAUGAUUGUUGUCGAAAAAACCUGAAAGAGUUGUGCAACCUGAAAGAGUCUCUGUAAUAUGAACCUAAGCUAAUAAAGAUGAAAAGUAAGAACAGAAGGUAGAAAGGUGGGUAUGAGAUUUUGGACUGGGUGGAGAAGCCGGGAGGUGGUGUAUAAAGCAGUUUUGGAGGUGUGUGUCUCAGGAUCACAUCCUUCAGAAAUAUCCUUUUCUGCGCUCACUCCAGACCAGCUUAGGAGAGAUGUGUAUUUUGUCCGGCGGCGUCUGGUUCACCCCAGGUGACUUUGAGAGAUUUUCAGAAAGGGAAAAAAGCAAGAACUGGAAACUCACCAUCCGCUGCGAAAACAUUACACUGCAUGAACUUAUACAGUUGGUUCCACCAAGUAUACCGGGAUCCUGCAGAACAAAAUAAGUCAUGUGAGCACAAGAUUUUACGUGACGUGUGCUACAUUUGUGACUCGGCGGGAAAUCUGGUGUGCUGUGACGAGUGUCCACAAGCUUUUCACCAUCACUGCCACUUACCAACUCUACAGGAGGACACACUUGGGAUAAUAAGUUCGGCAAGAUGGGAGCCAUAAUGAAAAAGAUCUUUCAGGAGGAGUUUGACACCAUCUUUAAAAUCCAGUAGUAUUUUUCCUCUUUCACAAACCUGCAUUUCAUUGGAAGAUUUAUAAUCAAAAGACAAAUACUGAUGUUAUUAUUUAUUUAUUUAUUAUUUGCAUAUAACAUUGUUAGCAUCUGAUUAUUUAAUUGAACUUAUCUUCUAUAAUCCUACUUGUUUAUUAUUGUUAGGUUACAGGUCUAUUAGUGAUUUGUCUAAUUUGUGCAACUUGGAUACUAAAAAAGUAUAUCUGAUUAUAAUAUAUAUAUUUUAACAUACAGCUUUCUAAUGUUGUAUGCAUUUAUUAUUUCACGAAUUACUGGUUUUAUAAUCAUUUCAUUUAAUCUUAAUAUGUUAGAUUUCUUAUUGUUUUAUCUCAGCAUUUAUAUAGUUUCACUUCCUUAUAUUGCAUUUACAAUUUUUUUUGUACAGUGCAUCUGGAAAGUAUUCACAGCGCUUCACUUUUCCCACAUUUUAUGUUACAGCCU
This is a long non-coding RNA of Ictalurus punctatus (channel catfish), 2120 nucleotides long. Lineage: Eukaryota; Metazoa; Chordata; Actinopteri; Siluriformes; Ictaluridae. The record is from Ensembl.